AUGGGGGAAACCCUGAUGCAGCGACGCCGCGUGAGCGAUGAAGCCCUUCGGGGUGUAAAGCUCUUUCGGCAGGGAAGAUGAUGACGGUACCUGCAGAAGCAGCUGCGGCUAACUACGUGCCAGCAGCCGCGGUAAUACGUAGGCAGCAAGCGUUGUUCGGAGUUACUGGGCGUAAAGGGUGUGUAGGCGGUUGUUUAAGCUUGGUGUGAAAUCUCCCGGCUCAACCGGGAGGGUGCGCCGAAUACUGAAUGACUCGAGUGCGGGAGAGGAGAGUGGAAUUCCUGGUGUAGCGGUGAAAUGCGUAGAUAUCAGGAGGAACACCGGUGGUGUAGACGGCUCUCUGGACCGUAACUGACGCUGAGACACGAAAGCGUGGGUAGCAAACAGGAUUAGAUACCCUGGUAGUCCACGCCCUAAACGAUGCAUAUUUGGUGUGGGCAGUUCAUUCUGUCCGUGCCGGAGCUAACGCGUUAAAUAUGCCGCCUGGGGAGUACAGUCGCAAGGCUGAAACUCAAAGGAAUUGACGGGGGCCCGCACAAGCGGUGGAGCAUGUGGUUCAAUUCGACGCAACGCGAAGAACCUUACCUGGGCUCGAACGGCUGGUCAACGGAGGUGGAAACAUCUUUACCCCGCAAGGGGGUCCAGUCGAGGUGCUGCAUGGCUGUCGUCAGCUCGUGUCGUGAGAUGUUGGGUUAAGUCCCGCAACGAGCGCAACCCUUGUCCUGUGUUGCCAUGCCGAAAGGCGGAACUCGCAGGAGACCGCCAGCGAUAAGCUGGAGGAAGGUGGGGAUGACGUCAAGUCCUCAUGGCCUUUAUGUCCAGGGCUACACACGUGCUACAAUGGACGGUACAAAGCGCCGCGAACCCGCGAGGGGGAGCCAAUCGCAAAAAACCGUUCUCAGUUCGGAUUGCAGGCUGCAACUCGCCUGCAUGAAGCUGGAAUCGCUAGUAAUGGCAGAUCAGCACGCUGCCGUGAAUACGUUCCCGGGCCUUGUACACACCGCCCGUCACAUCACGAAAGUGGAUUGUACUAGAAGUCUGCAGGCUGA
Molecule: ribosomal RNA, 1049 nt
Filed under: uncultured bacterium
Lineage: Bacteria
Description: bacterial SSU rRNA
Rfam family: Bacterial small subunit ribosomal RNA
Source: RNAcentral